GGCAAGAUGGCCGAGCGGUCUAAGGCGCUAGACUCAAGAGCAGAUCUUAGGGUCCUCUUAUAUCCUCCCAAAGGGUAAACAUUUCUAGUCUCGAAAGAGGCGGGGGUUCGAAUCCCCCUCUUGUCA
Molecule: transfer RNA, 126 nt
Filed under: Hypoxylon rubiginosum
Lineage: Eukaryota; Fungi; Ascomycota; Sordariomycetes; Xylariales; Hypoxylaceae
Description: tRNA-Leu
Rfam family: tRNA
About the family: Transfer RNA (tRNA) molecules are approximately 80 nucleotides in length.
Source: RNAcentral